This 510-nucleotide ribosomal RNA is filed under the name Gelastocoris oculatus. Its description in RNAcentral is "eukaryotic LSU rRNA". It matches the Rfam family "Eukaryotic large subunit ribosomal RNA", at positions 670 to 1139 of the family's 3401-position model. The record is from RNAcentral. Lineage: Eukaryota; Metazoa; Arthropoda; Insecta; Hemiptera; Gelastocoridae.
GGAGUCUAACAUGUGCGCGAGUCAUUGGGCGGCAAACCCAAAGGCGGAAUGAAAGUGAAGGGAAGCCCUGCUUUCUGAGGGAGGAUGGGCGUGACAUGCCGACACGGCGGCGCCCCGCACUCCCAGGGCGUCUCACACUCAUUGCGAGUGGAGGCGCACCUAGAGCGCCCACGUUAGGACCCGAAAGAUGGUGAACUAUGCCUGGUGAGGACGAAGCCAGGGGAAACCCUGGUGGAGGUCCGUAGCGAUUCUGACGUGCAAAUCGAUCGUCGGAGCUGGGUAUAGGGGCGAAAGACUAAUCGAACCAUCUAGUAGCUGGUUCCCUCCGAAGUUUCCCUCAGGAUAUCUGGUGCCCAGGUGAGACGAGUCUCAUCCGGUAAAGCGAAUGAUUAGAGGCCUUGGGGCCGAAACGACCUCAACCUAUUCUCAAACUUUAAAUAGAUGAGAACUCCGGCUUGCUCAAAUGUGAAGCCGGGGACUCGGAUCAGGGUGCCCAGUGGGCCGAUUUUG